CCUACGGGUGGCAGCAGUGGGGAAUAUUGGGCAAUGGGCGCAAGCCUGACCCAGCAACGCCGCGUGAAGGAAGAAGGCUUUCGGGUUGUAAACUUCUUUUCUCAGGGACGAAGCAAGUGACGGUACCUGAGGAAUAAGCCACGGCUAACUACGUGCCAGCAGCCGCGGUAAUACGUAGGUGGCAAGCGUUAUCCGGAUUUACUGGGUGUAAAGGGCGUGUAGGCGGGAAAGCAAGUCAGAUGUGAAAACCAUGGGCUAAACCUGUGGCCUGCAUUUGAAACUGUUUUUCUUGAGUACUGGGGAGGCAGACGGAAUUCCUAGUGUAGCGGUGAAAUGCGUAGAUAUUAGGAGGAACACCAGUGGCGAAGGCGGUCGGCUGGACAGCAACUGACGCUGAGGCGCGAAAGCGUGGGGAGCAAACAGGAUUAGAUACCCUAGUAGUC
RNAcentral lists this ribosomal RNA (443 nucleotides) under uncultured bacterium. RNAcentral's name for it is "partial 16S ribosomal RNA". It matches the Rfam family "Bacterial small subunit ribosomal RNA", at positions 338 to 795 of the family's 1533-position model. The record is from RNAcentral.